Rhineura floridana is the source of this 2932-nucleotide long non-coding RNA. RefSeq lists it as uncharacterized. The record is from RefSeq and is a predicted model, not a curated record. NCBI's taxonomy places the organism in Eukaryota, Metazoa, Chordata, Lepidosauria, Squamata, Rhineuridae. The transcript has 3 exons.
AAAAAUGGCGGCCGGGAAGAAGGAGGAGUAAUGGUGGACAAGCAGAGGGUUCCACGCACUCCAAAAAGGCCUAACACGGCUGCGAUUUCUCUGCAGCCAUUGUAUCAUGCAAGUCAAUUCUAUCAUGCAUCGUAUCAUGCAAGUCAAUCCUAGAGGGAGCCCCAGCUGACGAAGCGUCAAGGCUCCAGCUGACAAAGCGUCAAGGCGAGUUAAGCAGCAGAGUGAAAAGAGGGAUGUAUAAAACAGAGCUAUUCUUAAGUGACCCCGUCUAGGAUGCACACCUUAAUAUGGUGAGGAGGUAAUGCCAUCAGGUGUCUAGACUCAUAGCAGGGGCACCCAAGGCGGAAUGGUCAAAGCUGAGACACCAGACUAAGAUGCAUCCAGAGUCAGAGGAAGGCAAUGGUAAGCCACCUCUGAAUACCUCUUUCCAUGAAAAUCCUAUGAGUAAACUAUCCAAAAUGCAACACGAGAUAGUGCUGGAAGAUGAGACCCCCCAGGUCAGAAGGCACUCACGAGCUACUGGGGAAGAACAAAGGACAAGUACAAGUAGCGCUGUGACUAAUGAUGCAGCUGGGUCAAAGCCGAAAGGAAGCCCAGAGGCUGAUGUGCACAGAUGCGAAAGUAGAGUCCAGAGCUGUAUGACGUACAAAAUAGGAACAUGGAAUGUGAGAAGCAUGAAGCAGGGAAAGUUAGAAAUUGUCAAGCAAGAAAUGGAAUGUAUCAACAUUAUAAUACAUGGAAUGAAUGAAUUAAAACAGAGAGGAAUGGGACAUUUCCAAUCAGGCAACUACAAAAUAUUUUUAUGCAGGAAAUGAGAAAUUAAGAAGAAAAGGGGUUGCUUUAAUAGUGAGAAGUGAUGUAGCAACAGCAAUUAGGAGCUAUAACUCAAAGUCUGAGUGAGUUAUAUCAAUGAGAUUUAACGGGAAACCUACGAACAUAACCAUCAUCCAAAUCUAUGCUCCAACCGCAAAUGCAGAACAAGAGGAAAUGGAGAUAUUUUAUGCAGAAGUAUAGGAAGAAAUUGAUCACACACCAAAACAAGAUGUGAUGAUAACCAUGGGGGACUGAAAUGCAAAAGCAGGGAACAGAGAAGAACUAGAAAUUGUGGGAAAAUGGGGCUUAGGAGAUAGAAAUGAAGCCGGAGAAAGACAUUGAAUUCUGUGAAGCCAAUAAUUUGUUUCUUGCAAACACAUUUUUUGAGCAAAUGAAAAGAUGACUGUACAUGUGGACAUCACCAAAUGGUCAAUGUAGGCAUCAAAUUGAUUAUCUAAUUGGUAGCAGAAGUUGGAAAAGUUCCAUACUUUCUGCAAAAACCAGUCCAGGAGCAGACUGUGGUACAGAUCAUGAACUGGUUGUAUCGAAAAUCAGAGUAAAGCUAAAGAAGAAGAACAAAGCAAUCAUAAUGCCAAAAUACAAUUCAAAUAACAUCCCAGAAGAAUAUAAAGAUCUAAUGAGGAACAGAUUUGAGGCUUUAAACUUAGUUGACAAAAAAACAGAAGAACUAUGGAUUGAAGUCAGACACAUUGUCAGGGAAGAAUGCAAAAAGACAAUAUCUCUAGUUAAAAAAGAGAAAGAACUCAAUGGAUGACUGAAGAAACUCUUAAAAUGGUUAAAGAGAGAAGGCAAGCAAAAGCAAAAGGAGAAAGAAACAUGGUUAGAACCCUAAAUGCGACUAGUACGUAGGGACAAACAGAACUAUUACAAUAGUUAUUGUAUAGAAAUAGAAGAGGACAAUAAAAAGGGUAGAACAAGAGCCCUAUUCCAAAAGAUUAAAGAAAUGAAAGGGAAAUUUAAACCAAGAGUAGGGAUGUUGAAUAAUCAACAGGGGAACACACUGACUGACCAAGAUAAAAUAAAAGGAAGAUAGAAGCAAUACACUGAAGAACUCUAUAAUGAUGCCAGGAUGACAGAUUCAUUCAUGGAGGACCCAUAUGAUGAAGAACCAGAAAUUUUAGAAUGUGAGGUGAAAGCUGCUCUUAAAAUACUUGGAAGAAACAAAUCACCAGGAAUAGAUGACAUACCAAUAGAGUUGCUACAAGUUUCUGAGACUGUCCAAAUUUUGACAAAAAAUUGUCAACAAAUAUGGAAAAGAAAACAAUGGCCCACAGACUGAAAGCGUUCAAUAUACAUCCCAAUUCCAAAGAAAGGAGAUCCCAGGGAAUGCAGUAAUUAUUGAACUAUUGCCUUAAUAUCCCAUGCAAGUAAAGUAAUGCUCAAGAUUGUACAACAAGGUCUCUUACCAUAUAUGGAACGAGAAGUGCCAGAUGUCCAAGCUGGAUUUAGAAAGAGAAGCGGUACCAGAGAUCAUAUCACAAACAUACGUUGGAUAAUGGAAUGGACCAAAGAAUUUCAGAAGGAAAUCACCUUGUACUUUAUAGAUUACAGCAAAGCCUUUGACUGUGUAGAUCAUGAAAAACUAUGGAAUGCUUUAAAAGAAAUGGGGGUGCCUCAGCAUCUGAUUGUCCUGAUGCACCACCUAUACUCUGGAGAAGAGGCUACUGUAAGGACAGAAUAUGGAGGAAACGAUUGGUUCCUAAUCAAGAAGGGUGUUAGGCAGGGGUGUAUUUUAUCACCCUAUUUGUUUAAUCUAUAUGCAGAACAUAUCGUACAGAAAGCAGGAUUGGACCAAGAUGAAGGAGGUGUUAAAAUUGGAGGGAGAAAUAUCAAUAAUUUAAGAUAUGCAGACGAUACCAUACUACUAGCAGAAACCAGUAGUGAUUUGAAACGAAUGCUGCUGAAAGUUGACGCGGAAAGCACAAAAGCAGGACUACAGCUGAAUGUCAAGAAGAUGAAAGUAAUGACAAAAGAAAAUUUCUGUAACUUUAAAGUUGACAACGAGGACAUUGAACUUGUUAAGGAUUAUCAAUACCUUGGCACAGUCAUUAAUCAAAAUGGAGACAAUAGUCAAGAAAUCAGAAGAAGGCUAGGACUG